AAAGAUUACAUUCGGCUUUUCAUAACGUCGAGUUUACCUAUGUACAAAUAUUAUGUUGCAUAUGUACAAAGGCAAGUGUCUUCGGGUAAUUUGAAUUUCCCAAAGGAAAUAACAUACGCCAAGUUUCGUCUCGCUAUCAUUGCCAUGAUACGGUUGCUUGAUAUUGAUUUUCACAAUGGGUUUUUUUGUGAAUUAUGUGGAAGAAUUCCCCAGAAGGUGGUGAUGGAUGGAACAACUCUUGGAAUACAGAAAACUUUCUUACCAAAUAAUUUAAGAGAGUCUGAUACUGGAUUGCUAGAUGGAAGAUAAGUAUUUUUGAAGUUUAUCUGUAAUAUAUAAUAUAUACAGGUCUGCUAAUUAGUAAAUACGAGUGUUCAUCUACGUAUCAGAAAGCAUUUUGUGCAUGAUGGUGACUUCUCUCACUUUGUUUUUGUACACACCUUAUAGUUAUAAAAAUAACAACCUGUUUUCUUAACAGGUUUGUUCUCAUAAC
This is a long non-coding RNA of Xenia sp. Carnegie-2017, 493 nucleotides long. RefSeq lists it as uncharacterized. NCBI's taxonomy places the organism in Eukaryota, Metazoa, Cnidaria, Anthozoa, Malacalcyonacea, Xeniidae. The record is from RefSeq and is a predicted model, not a curated record. The transcript has 4 exons.